Molecule: ribosomal RNA, 468 nt
Filed under: uncultured bacterium
Lineage: Bacteria
Description: partial 16S ribosomal RNA
Rfam family: Bacterial small subunit ribosomal RNA
Source: RNAcentral
GACGAACGCUGGCGGCGUGCUUAACACAUGCAAGUCGAACGGAAAGACCCUGCUUUUGUGGGGUGCUCGAGUGGCGAACGGGUGAGUAACACGUGAGUAACCUGCCCUUGAAUUUGUGAUAAAUUCUGGAAACUGGGGCUAAUACCGGGUAGGAGCUCCUGCUGCAUGGUGGGGGUUGGUAAAUUUCGGCGGUUGGGGAUGGACUGGCGGCUUAUCGGCUUGUUUGUGGGGUAGUGGCUUACAAAGUGUUUGAAGGGUAGGCUGCCUUGGAGGGUGACCGGCCACCAUGGGACUGAGAUACGGCGCAGACUCCUACGGGAGGCAGAAGUGGGGAAUAUUGCAGAACGGGCGGAAGCCUGAUGCAGCAACGCCGCGUGCGGGAUGACGGCUUUCGGGUUGUAAACCGCUUUCGACUGUGACGAAGCGUGAUUGACGGUAAUGGGUAAAGAAGCACCGGCUAACUACGUG